RNAcentral lists this transfer RNA (86 nucleotides) under Halorussus limi. RNAcentral describes it as "Halorussus sp. XZYJT49 tRNA-Ser". Lineage: Archaea; Methanobacteriati; Methanobacteriota; Halobacteria; Halobacteriales; Haladaptataceae. The record is from RNAcentral.
GCCGAGGUAGCCUAGCCUGGCCAAGGCGGUUGCUUCGAGAGCAACUGUCCUUCACGGACUCAGGCGUUCAAAUCGCCUCCUCGGCG